RNAcentral lists this ribosomal RNA (403 nucleotides) under uncultured bacterium. RNAcentral's name for it is "partial 16S ribosomal RNA". It matches the Rfam family "Bacterial small subunit ribosomal RNA", at positions 28 to 526 of the family's 1533-position model. The record is from RNAcentral.
GACGAACGCUGGCGGCGUGCCUAAUACAUGCAAGUCGAACGCAGGGGGGACGGGUGAGUAACACGUGGGUAACCUCCCAUCAGAGGGGAUACCACUUGGAAACAGGUGCUAAACCGAUACUGAUGGAUGGUGCCGGGGGGGAUUAGCUAGUCGGUGGGGUAACGGCUCACCAAGGCCACGAUGCAUAGCCGGCCUGAGAGGGUGAUCGGCCACACUGGGACUGAGACACGGCCCAGACUCCUACGGGAGGCAGCAGUAGGGAAUCUUCGGCAAUGGACGAAAGUCUGACCCAGCCACGCCGCGUGAGUGAAGAAGGUUUUCGGAUCGUAAAACUCUGUUGGUAGAGAAGCGGUAUCUAACCAGAAAGCCACGGCUAACUACGUGCCAGCAGCCGCGGUAAUAC